This 1510-nucleotide unclassified non-coding RNA is filed under the name Hevea brasiliensis (rubber tree). The record is from RNAcentral. Lineage: Eukaryota; Viridiplantae; Streptophyta; Magnoliopsida; Malpighiales; Euphorbiaceae.
AAAAAAUAAUAUUAAGCUUUCAUGACUCCAAUUUUCUACUAUGAAACUUCAAUUAACUUUUAAACAUAUAAAAAAUUCUUUCAAAUCCUAUAUUAUUUUUUGAAUUGUUCAUAUAAACACGUAAAUAAUAGAAAGAAUACUAAUAACACAGAAACUUUACCAUUGAAGCCCAAAUUACUGGAGGAUAAUUGGACGUUUCCGCUUCUUUUAACUUGGAUCCCUCAAUAUAUUCUAUAAAUAAAUUGAAAACCAAGAAAACAAUUAACAACCACUAUAUUGGAACCAUAUCUACCACUGCACAGAAUUUACCCUACGAAGAACAUGUGGUGGCCUUCGCUUCUCAACGACAGGAAUGAGGUUCUCCAUAAGCUAAGCUUUUGGAGGAGAUGGCUGAAAUGUACAAGAGUCGCAAUCGAGUCACAUCAACGAUCAAUCCCACACAGCAUGACCCCAUUGUUUGUUACUCUAAAUUACAAACGCCACAUUCCCACAUCAGAACACCAAAUCUUACACAGCAUGAUCCCACCGUUUCUUAAUCUAAAUUUUGUUUAUCAUAUACAUCAGAUAUGCGUUCCUUUGGAUUUGCACUUAGUCACAUCAGUAGGGUGACUGAUCUCUUUAAAUCUCUUCUUCUUUUGCUCAACCUCUUCCCUUAAUAGACGUGAAUUCUCCUCCUCAAGUUGUGUCACCAAGGAUUCUAGCUCAACAGUGUAAGCCUGUUUACGUUCCCUAGACCUGGCAGCAGAUUCACGAUUCUUGAUCAUUCUCCUCUGCUUCUGCUGGGUGGCCUUAUCCAUUGGAGGCUCCUCCACAGCCCUCCUCUUCUGCCUCCCUUUUCCUCCUUCCGCCACCAUCAUCAUCCCAUUUCCCGCCCCUUGAAAUUCUCCGUUGUCAUAAUUAUUAUUAUCAUUGGUUAUUUUGCUAUUGCUAUCCACACCAUAAGCUCCUACAGCCGCCCCCACCUGAACCGGAACUCCAACCCCUCUAACAUCCUCCUCCCUCACCGCACCGGCCUUAGUCAAAAAAUCCUCCAAAGUCAUCCCCUCGAUUCCUCCACCACCACCACCACAAUUUCCCUCCCGCCUCUGAUCCCCGCCAGCCACUAUCUCCUUCCAAACUUCAUCAACGGACUUGCUAGCAGCCUCCUUAAGCAAAGGGAAGCCGCCGUCGCGUGAGAUAGACGCGCCACUGGAGAAGGAUGGCACGUGGAGAUCGUUUGGUGUCAGUUGAGUAGGGUAAGAGUAGAUGUUUUUCAAGAGAUCGUCCAUAGUCGCGGAGAGCAAAGGGCUCUGAGAAGAAGAGAAUUGGUUUUGGUUUUGAUUUUGGUUUUGGAGAUCGGCGAGCGGGAUGGAGAGAGAGGAACAUAAAGAGGGUUGACGUGGCGGAUCGGGAUUCGUCGUUGACGAGGUCGCCAUCACCUUCGACAACGCCAUAGCCCAAAUCCAGAACCUAACACUAGCGAAUUUCUAGGCUCACACUAACAGGGUGGUUACUUGUUGGUUCUCCUGAC